RNAcentral lists this ribosomal RNA (1447 nucleotides) under metagenome. RNAcentral's name for it is "bacterial SSU rRNA". It matches the Rfam family "Bacterial small subunit ribosomal RNA". The record is from RNAcentral.
AGAGUUUGAUCCUGGCUCAGGACGAACGCUGGCGGCAUGCCUAAGACAUGCAAGUCGAACGAACGAAUUGGUGCUUGCACCAAUAAGUUAGUGGCGAACGGGUGAGUAACAUGUAGGUAACCUACCUCAAAGACGGGGACAACAGUUGGAAACGACUGCUAAUACCGGAUAGUUAAUAGAAUCGCAUGAUUUUAUUAUUAAAGGAGCUUUCAAGCUUCGCUUUGAGAUGGACCUGCACUGUAUUAGCUAGUUGGUGAGGUAAUGGCUCACCAAGGCAUCGAUGCAUAGCCGAGCUGAGAGGCUGAUCGGCCACACUGGAACUGAGACACGGUCCAGACUCCUACGGGAGGCAGCAGUUAGGAAUAUUGGGCAAUGGACGAAAGUCUGACCCAGCAAUGCCGCGUGUGUGAGGAAGGCCUUCGGGUUGUAAGGCACUGUUGUGAAGGAAGAACAGCAUGUAUAGGAAAUGAUACAUGUGUGACGGUACUUCACCAGAAAGCCACGGCUAACUACGUGCCAGCAGCCGCGGUAAUACGUAGGUGGCAAGCGUUGUCCGGAAUUAUUGGGCGUAAAGGGAGCGUAGGUGGUUUGUUAAGUCUGAUGUGAAAGCCCGCGGCUCAACCGCGGAGGGUCAUUGGAAACUGACAAACUUGAAUACAGCAGAGGUAAGUGGAACUUCAUGUGUAGCGGUGGAAUGCGUAGAGAUAUGAAGGAACACCAGUGGCGAAGGCGACUUACUGGGCUGAUAUUGACACUGAUGCUCGACAGCGUGGGGAGCAAAUAGGAUUAGAUACCCUAGUAGUCCACGCCGUAAACGAUGAGUGCUAAGUGUUGGAAGGGCUACCUUUCAGUGCUGAAGCUAACGCAUUAAGCACUCCGCCUGAGGAGUACGGUCGCAAGGCUGAAACUCAAAGGAAUUGACGGGUCCCUGCACAAGCGGUGGAACAUGUGGAUUAACUCGAGGAUACGCGAAGAACCUUACCUACUCUUGACAUCCCUCUGACCGCACUAGAGAUAGUGCUUCUCUUCGGAGCAGAGGUGGCAGGUGGUGCAUGGUUGUCGUCAGCUCGUGUCGUGAGAUGUUGGGUUAAGUCCCGCAACGAGCGCAACCCCUAUCCUUAGUUGCUAACAUUAAGUUGAGGACUCUAGGGAGACUGCCGGUGAUAAACCGGAGGAAGGUGGGGAUGACGUCAAAUCAUCAUGCCCCUUAUGAGUAGGGCUUCACACGUGUUACAAUGGCAAGUACAACGAGCAGCAAGACCGCGAGGUGGAGCUAAUCUCUUAAAGCUUGUCCCAGUUCGGAUUGUAGUCUGCAACUCGACUACAUGAAGUUGGAAUCGCUAGUAAUCCCGGGUCAGCAUACCGGGGUGAAUACGUUCCCAGGGAUUGUACACACCGCCCGUCACGCCACGAGAGUUUGUAACACCCGAAGAUGGUGGCCUAACCU